Paramuricea clavata is the source of this 221-nucleotide non-coding RNA. NCBI's taxonomy places the organism in Eukaryota, Metazoa, Cnidaria, Anthozoa, Malacalcyonacea, Plexauridae. The record is from the annotation of a GenBank genome assembly.
UUCCCAAAUAUUGAUGUUUUUUCAACCUUUUCGUGCCUUUUUGAUACAAAUAUCAAACUUUGAACUCCCCCCGGAUUAUUAAAAGCUCACCCAAGUUUCUUUACUUUUUAAACCAAUCAGAUUCGCCAUAGGAAUCGCAUUUUGCCCCAGCAUCGUGCCACAACUGUUUAUAGACAAAUUAGCAAACGUUUUGCACAUUUUUUCUACUUUUGUAUUUUGUU